AGUGUAAAUAUAAGGGACCCCUGUGAAAGGGUCAUUUAAUCCCCAAGGGAUUGUGACCCACAGGUUGAAAGUCUGGGUGACAGUCCAGAGCGAAUAUGCUAAAAUUAAGAGGAAUCUGUAAGCCUUUACACCUUUAAUGGCCUUCUGUUCUGCCGGGGACAAGUGAGGAAGAGCAUCAGGUCUUAAGAGCCAAGCUGCCCGGUGUUCAGCCUAACCCUACUCCUACUGAAGACCCAGGCCAACUUCUGCUUGGUACACCUUCAGUUUUUCCAUUUGCAAAGUAAGGCUAACACAUUGUGUAGGGCUGUCUAAGAGUGUGAAUUAUGGCCCAGUGCACCUCAUCUUCUGUAUGUCUUUGAGGAAGCUACAGUUUUGCACAUUAUCCAUCCAUCCAAGUGACUUUUGGAGCUAAGCCUGACUCUGGGUCCACAGGCUGGUUAGAUAGCCUAUUAUCUAUCACAUGCCAACACCAAGUACCAGCUAGUGUCUCCACUUCUGUUCUUCAUGAAUUGUUUGAUUAUUCUGUUGCAUUUGGUCUCACCUCAUAAGAGUGACUGGGAAUAGGAUGAAAUCAAGUGCCUGUGGUAGUAACAGCUACAGCUCUCAACUCACAGAUGUUUCCAGCAAAAGCAGACAUCCUUAUACAUAUUGAAAAUGGGGAUCUUAAGUGCUCAGUUAAAUUUUUGUCUCGCCAAAUACACCAUCUCACUUCCAAUGACAAAGGGCAAGGACAUUGGGAUGCCUUUGGAAAACAAACAAGUGCUGGGAUCUAAGAUGUAAGGCGUGCUCAGGAAUACGCGCAGUAUCUUUGUUUCAUUUUUUGAAACUAGAUGACAACUCCCAUGAAGCUGAGCACAUGGGAAUUUCAACUUAAAUCUGUAGACUAAAAAGAAAAACUGCUUUCAAAAAUGGGACAUAAACAAAAUAUAAUAAUAAUAAAUAUAAUUAUCAACAAUAUCAAUCUCUAUUUUCUUUCCCACAACAAGAUAAACAUUUUUUAUAAUUUAUAAGAUCAUAAUGUCUUUUUUAUAAAUCUGUAUUUUUCAUAGGCUGAAGUUCCUUCAAGGAGCCAAUCCAUUUGCCAAAUUCAAACAGCAAACGAUCCCUGUGCCAGACUGUGACUAAGAAACAUAUAAUCAGAAAUGGUGGUGAAGAUUCUCCACUCUAAAAUGCUUAAAUAAAAUGCUCAAUAAGGGAUCAUUAUAAAAACAGCCAAUAUUUUGAUCAUUAAAAAGGAAGGCUACCUGUAUAAAUGUGAACAAUCUCUUUUUAGUACACAAAAAUCUUAGUGUUAAAUUUAUGUAUUUAUUUGCAUAAGUGACACACAGAAUUCUGAACACUCUCUUACAACUUUCUGUCAAAUAGGUCACUGUGUCACCAGGGGCUGUGGAUUCCAUGGAAAGUUAAAGGAAGAGCGAGCAAGAGGGCACCGGUGGCAGGAGCUCUGGCACUUCCACACCAUGCCUCUGACACUCUUCUCUUUCUGUCUUUCCCUUUUGGUGUGGCUGGGAAUUGAACUGGGAGCCUUGCACACACUAGUGUGUUCUCUGCCAUUGAGUUCUAUCCCAGCCUGAUUUUGUAACUUAAAAAAAAAAAAAGCCUAUCAGACUCUUACAUUCUUCCAAUAUGAGGAAGGAAUUCAAACUUAAAGCUUACAAUCCCACCCCCUCCACUGAAGAGGAAAUAUUUUUUAAUAGAAAUUUGAAACAACUUCACCAAAUAUUAAGUGAGCCUUUAGUAAUCAGACCACAUUUCAUACAACACCUCAAAAACAAAACAAACAAAAAAACCCCAAAAUAACAAAACAAAACAAAACAAAACCCAACCAUCUUUCUGGAGCCCCCCAAGACUUUUUAGCCUGAGGGGUUAAAAGUGUGGGUGUGGAAGUCAGCUUUUGUUUGAAAAAUUAGCAAUGCUAUGAGUCACCCUGCAUUAGCAGCGGAGGAGUUUUGCAUCUUGUACGAAUCCAGACACCAUAUGCCAUGCGAAGGCCUAUUACUUUAUUCGGUGCCACCGCUGACAGGCAGCCACGUGGGUAUCCCCAGUGGAAGGGCUGUCUCCUCCCGGCGGCGAGGACAGGAACCCAGUGAGCUGAACACAUCCGACAUUGUACAGAGCAGCAGGAACAGCUGGUAAGCUAUCGAGCAGCAAGGGCUAGCUAGGAGCGCAGAUGCUAAUGAGCCUGGCAAUGACAAUGCAGGCCUUCAGAGGAGCCAGCCCAGCGUCUAUGUGUUCUCACAAAGCCUGAGAGGAGAAUCUGCUCCUUCAUGCCUUCAGUCUCAUUAAAACACAUACUGGUGUUAGUAGUUUAUCAAAAGCUGCUGUAACUUACAAGUUAUAACUCUCCCCAACAGUUUCAACGUGUUUUAAAAAGUGGCACUGAACUGUGUGGAGUGGCCCACGGGCCUGUUUGGGUAGCAGGGAAAUUUUAAGGGGCAAAUGGUGAGCAGUGGGCUCGGCAGUGCAAGCCGAGCAGCUGCUGCUGGGUUCAGGUCCCAGCUCCCACUCUCACGGAACUGUGUGGCCUCCAGCAGGUUGUCUAACCUCUCUGUGCUCCGCUUCAUAUCUCAUCAGAUGGCACACUCCUACACUGGCAUAAUGUGUUCCAAGGAUGUGGCUCUUUCCUUCAUCAGCUGCUGGAAGGACCCAUGGACUGAAUACACAGGUGGAGUUCUCAGUGCCUGGGCUGGGCAGAAGUUGUCGAACCUAAGUAAAUUGAUGUGUACUCCUGGGGACCAGCGCAUGGCACACUAAGAGGCUCGACCUCCUGGCCUCCCUUUUGUCCCACAACAUAAGCCAGCAGACAACUCCCGAGGGAAAGGUUUAAGUGUAAGGAGGGAGAUCACAGAAGGGUGUAGGGAGUUGUGGGAGCUCUAGGAAUUCCAGCCAGGAUUGCUAGUGGCCAUGGGUUGGAUGGGCCUAUUAGAAGCAUCUGGGGCUCCCUGACUGCUAAGAUCUGUGAUGGUUCUGGGUGUAGGGGAGGCUCUUGGCUGAAAAGUGUUCACUUUCUGAAUAGUCCUUGCCUCACUUAGGACUUGUGACUCCUGUUCAUUCUUCCAAGCCAGGUCAGAGACUUGGGAUACUGCUCUGUGUUCUGAGCUGAACCUGCCAUUGUAGCCAUUAAGAAACUGUAUUGCUCUUUGAUGUAACAGGCUGUCUUCCAGCAGCACCCCUUGAGGACCAGAGCCAUGCCUUCUGUAUGCUUACCCUCAGCAAUAGCAAGGGUCCGGCAGACAGAAAGACCAAUGGCUAUCUUGAUGAAUGAACAACAACAAAAACAGCAACAACAACAACAAAAACUAAUAAAAAUAAAAACCACAGUCCUGCUUCUAACCUCUCCUGUUCAGAAGCAGCACCUGGGAGUGAGACUGGGAAGAUAGGAUCUGCUGACCCUCUUUUUGCCAAUACAGUAUUAGAGGCACUUAAAGAAACAUAACUGCGUCAAAUGAUCAUCUCUCUACUGCCUAUGGGUGUGUGGGAACGUUAGAGGGAAGUGCCUGGCUUUGGAGGGUGAAACUUGUCUCCUUGAAGUUUUUAUGCCAGGAAAGUUCAAUUCGGGGCAUUUCAGAAGGUGACUUAUCUGCACUUUGGAAAAGCAAAAAAAAAAAAAAAAAAAAAUGCAGAUGCCUGGCAAGUGUAGGUGAGUGAACAUGGCAGUGAGGACAUGCUAGAAGGCUGCGCUUGGGGAGGAAGAGUAAAUACAUGCUAGCGAAGUUGCAGACCCCUAUGGCACCAGCUGCAGAGGAAGCUAAAACCCUACCUGAGGCCAGCUUGGACAAAUAGCAGUUCUAGAAAAACAACAACAAAAAGAAGCAGAGGAGGCCACAGCUUCAUCUGCGAGGGUCUUACACGCAGCAGGCACUAGACUGGGAUACUGCUUGCCCCUGCUGCCUGCAGCCUGUUGUACAGACAUCAUACCAUAGCAGCCAUGCCACUCGCACUCGAAUAUGCUGUUGCUUUCCUAUUUACCUUCCUUUACCUCUAGCCCUUACUUCUAAUUGUAGCCUGAAUCCCACACAGAAUGCCAGGACCACUGAAAGAAAACAGAAAAGCUAGAAGGGAACUCAGGUACACUGUCAGAGGAUACCUGGGCUAUUCCACAGCUCAUUCCCAGGCACAGGCUCCUGAGGCAUCCCAGUAGUCUAGGGAUAACCGGAUCGUCAUCCCGCAGCCUUUUAUAAUGGCCAAAAGCCAUCCAGAGACCGAUGUAACAACUACUGCGGACUGCCUUCUCAUGCUUUAUGAACAGCACAUCAAAUGAGCUCUUCAGGCACUGGGAUUUCAAAGAUUAAACCAAAGCAAAACAACCUGGUUUAUGUAUUUUUUGAGAUAGGGUUUCAUGAAAUUUUAACUAUUGAUCUUCCUGCCUCUACUUCCCAAGUGCCAGAUUUACAAACAUGUAUGACCAUGUCCUGCCAGUAACAAAAUGAAAAUCCCCUAAAAUCAACACACACACACACACACACACACACACACACACACACACACACCUUUAGUGUUUAAAAAUUAGCCAGAAUGGAAUUAAUUCUAGCCCAAGGCUCUAGAGUAGAUUCCACUGCCCAGGACACAGUGACAGUUAGUAGAGUCAUAGAGAGAAUGUUGGCACAUUUGUCUGUCUGGUUCACACAUGUAUGCUUGAACAAACAUGCACACAGUCCAGGCAGAGUCCUUCUUCCCUGUAUUAAGUUCCAGAGGAAUGGUGUUCCACGGCAGGGAGGGCUGAGCGAGCCGCCCGUCACGGAUGGAAUGUGUCCCUAGUGAGGGUGCUAUGAAUCUCUGCCAUGGAGCUGCCACUUCCACAGUCCGUGUAAUGCCACCUAAGUGCUCUGCCUCACAUGACUUGCUGUAGGCUGCUGAAGAUUAGAGCCAUCGAUCGCUCCCUGCAGAAGAGUCUUGCUGUGCAAAAGGAAAGUAAGCCGCAGAGACAAACAGCUCAAGUAUUGAUCUGCUCUGGUGGGGGUGGGGGGCUGCACUUCCAAAUGAAAAUCAGCUCUCCUUCCCAGCACCUACAAGGGUCACUGUAAUACGCAUGGGGACAUGACGAAGACGGUGUGUGGGGACAAACACUGCUGCCCCUCUCCUGUCAGUGGGUCACAGACCUCUCUGAGAAGCCAAGCGGCCACAUGAAACCUCCAGCUUUAUAAAAAAAGCCUGGCAACAUUCUAUACUGUCUGGGCAUUCUAUAUUCAUCCACAGCAGUGCUGGAGAACGGCUGCCAGAGGGCAACCUGAUGCAGGGGAAGCAAGGUAGAUGCAUUUCAAGAACAUCCUUCCAAUGACCGAGAGUCACCCCAAACUAGAAGUCUGGCUCUCACUGCCCAUGACACAAACCCUUUUCCUAUAGAAGAAGACCACGCAUAAUUUAAAGGCCAAUAUUUAAAAGACUGACCCCCAAAACAUUCAUUCUUCUUACGGAAACUGCCACAAUGUAAAUCAUAUGGCUUCCAGUAGGUUUUUUUUUUAACUUCUUCAAGCAUAAAAAUGUAAAUUCACCCAAAAAGUCAAAUGAAAUUAUGAAGUACACCAAAACUCAUGACUCUUGGCAGCUCUGUGCAAUGAACACAGGACGAGUACAGGUUAAACUGGGAAUACGGGAUCAGAGAGAUGGUUCAGUGAGUAAAGGUGCCUGCUGCCAGGCCGAAGGCCUGACCCUGACCCCUAGAAAUCAAACGGUAGAUAGAGAGGACAGGCUUCUGCAAGCAAGCGGUCCUCUGACCCCACAUGCAUGGCAUAAUCCACAUGCCACCCCUUAUGCCAAUUAAUAAAUAAAAAUGUAACACAACUUUAAAGGGGGAAAUUAAGAAAUCUAUAUAGAACUCAGAAGGCCCCUUUAUAUGUGCGUUUCUAUGGAGACAGCAGUAAACUGAACUGCAUUGCUUCUGUGAAUAUCCUUUGGAUUGGGUCAUUACUUAAAAUCAGUUUUCUCUUACUUUUUUCUAGGCAGUUCUCCCAUUUCUACUCCUGUCUACCUUUUUAUCUGAAUAUUUCUUGCUCAGUCAUUCCUGAGCCUAUCCCAGGACCAAGUGAGAGAUACCAACAACAGAACCCUCAUUCACUUUCUGCACACUAGGCUGUUGGGGUUUCCAUGAGUCUCUUACUGAGGUUCUGAAUUUCAUCACCUCAUAAACAGAAUCAUUACAAACCACUGACCCAAGGGUGGGGACAGAGUCACAAAUGAUGACAGGGAGGUUUGCCCUCUGCAGCUGAUGGACUCAUGGGAGAAAGACACAACAAUGAAAUGGCAAGAACUAAGAAAAAAUGAGGUAUCACUGCUCAAGGAAUAGAGCUUAGUAUUUAGGACAUUUUCUAACAGUCUAUGUUUUUAAAGAGAGACUGAGGAAAUGGAGGGAGCUAUGAAGAUGCUAGAAGGAGGGAUGGGGCAGACAGAGUUCUAGGCACAGAGUGUAGUUCUCGAGGCUGCCAUAUUUGGGGACCAUUAGAAAUAUUCUGGAUUUUUCUGUAGUAUGGAGGGUUUUGAGCUACCUGUUUUGAUUUCUGUGUGAAGGAAAAGUUCCUGCUUUCUGGAAAGAUCUGCAAGGAUAACCGGGAGAAGUAGUGAAGCUUGGAGGAGGCUGUGUACCAGUCUAGCAUGUGACAAGACUGGGGUGGGACUAUGUGGUACAAGUGGGAGAGGUUGCAUUUCAGUUAGAGUUUAAGGAUAAGCUUUUUGCAUAUACUUCAUUUCAUAAUAGUUAGCAAUAAUCUCUCUGAGGGAUUAUUUUCUUCACUUUACAAAUAAGGAAACAGGUAGAGUUAGAAUAUUUGUUGAAAACCAAAGAACUAGCUACCAGUCUAAAACUGAAACUCAACUUCUGUCUGAGGCCUGCUCUUAUACAUGUAUGCCUAAAAAAUGAUCCUAUAACAAAGACACUUUGAAAUGUGUCUAGCAUUUGUAGGACGACGACUGCUAUGGAGGAAAGGCAGUACACCCUGUGUUCUUUCUUCUUAAGACUUGUCACUGAGAAUAAGCACUUCACCACAGGAGGAGUGGGGGUAGAGCUCAGUGGUCAGAGUGAGUAUAGACAGCGUGCAUGUAGUACGUGGGUUUUAUCCCCAGUAGUGCAAAAAUAACCCCCAAACCUGCCUAAGUAAAUGGAUCCAGUUCUAUGGCAUUAGUGUAAGACACUGCAGAACAUGAGAGGUAAACACAGGCUUUACAUUCUUUCCUGUUUGUUUUCAAAUAAAUAAAAAUGUACUAUUCUAGUGUGCUAUCGUAGGUGACAAUCUACGUAAACUACCUGUGGGGUCAGCUCUCUGCCUCUCUCUCUCUCUCUCUCUCUCUCUCUCUCUCUCUCACACACACACACACACACACACACACACACACACACACACACACCACUUAGGAUUGCUCUGGAUCUCUAAGGCCUAGAUGACCUUGUUUGAUCUUUCUGACCCAAGAAGUGACCAGAGGGCAUAUGAUUUCAGAGAGGAAUGGCUAAGUGUACAAAACUCGACUCCAAGGUACUUCAGUGAAAUCCUAAGGGCUGACAAUCCACAGCAAAGUGGGCAGUAGGAAAUGCUCCCCUCAUCCAAACUCAAGCACAAACAAUGUCUCUGACAAGAGUCUAGUGCACCACUCGGGACUAAUUUAAUUUAACUAAUUUAACGUCUCUCUUGAUACACCUGUCUUUUUAAUGUAUGUAGAGUCACCAUAUAUGUUUAUCUUGUUGGGCAUAAAUUCUAUUUUCAAAAUUAACAAACAUACAAUAGUUGAAAUCUCUAAAUAUGUAAAAGAUUUUAUAAACAUGCUGCUUAAAUUUCAAACGAACUCUACUUUUCCUCUGAUAUCCAUAGUAAGCUCAGUUUCUUGAGCUGAAAAAAUUUAUUUUUCCUGACUUCAAUUCAUUUAAUUUUAAAUGUGUUAAAGAAAAAAACCCACAUAUCCUAUUUAUUUUCUCACAGGCAAGCUGAAUACCCAGCAAGAGAAUAUAAUGUGAUGACAGUUUCCAUCUUCUUUGGAGAGAGAGUUAUGAGUCUUGGGUGUGAAAGGCCCAGCACAAUGGAGACUGGUGGCAGCCCCCCCAUCGGCUCACCGCCUUCUUUAAAGUCCACAGAGGAUGGCAGUUUGGAUGGAAACCCCAAAAUCUAUUCUGUCCAUCUGUUUUAUUAUUCUUAGAACAACUGUCAAAAGUUGCCCAGGGAUCAAGUUGCAAACGUACUAAUUUGCCUUUGAAAAGUGGGCCCUGGGGGAAUUCUGGAACUCUGCUUAUAAAUGCAGAAUCCCCUCAGCCAGCCAGCCUGCCCUACCCUUUGUGGAGGUAUGAGACUUUGCACUUCCAGGCAUACAUCUGCCUCAAGGCUGGGAUGCCCUGAUAGACUUGCAUCCCACUUCAUAGGCAAAUGAAGGGGAGCCACAGGGACUUGGCAUCUUAAGGGCUGGCUUGUUCCCUGACAAGCAGACUGAGUGCUUUAGGAGGCAGCCCCUUCAUUGAUCAUGGGUGGAUGAAAGACCAAAGCUUUGUACUGGAGGGUUAAAGGCGUGAACGUGCAAAGGGAUACCCGUUCUGUACUCUUUUAUAUCCCUGGGCCAAACAGGAGAUAGGAGCCUGAAAUAAAACACUGAAGAAAUAAGCUGAAGAUAAAAAACUAUAAGCCACUGAACGUGGUGCCAUUUGUGUUUGUGGCUAUGCUGAAA
Molecule: small RNA, 8637 nt
Filed under: Rattus norvegicus (Norway rat)
Lineage: Eukaryota; Metazoa; Chordata; Mammalia; Rodentia; Muridae
Description: uncharacterized LOC108350486
Source: RNAcentral